RNAcentral lists this ribosomal RNA (472 nucleotides) under uncultured organism. RNAcentral's name for it is "partial 16S ribosomal RNA". It matches the Rfam family "Bacterial small subunit ribosomal RNA", at positions 333 to 797 of the family's 1533-position model. The record is from RNAcentral.
ACACUCCUGCGGGAGGCAGCAGUAGGGAAUCUUCCACAAUGGGUGCAAACCUGAUGGAGCAAUGCCGCGUGAGUGAAGAAGGUCUUCGGAUCGUAAAGCUCUGUUGUUAGAGAAGAACACGUGCUAGGUAACUACUAGCGCCUUGACGGUAUCUAACCAGAAAGUCACGGCUAACUACGUGCCAGCAGCCGCGGUAAUACGUAGGUGACAAGCGUUGUCCGGAUUUAUUGGGCGUAAAGGGAGCGCAGGCGGUCUGUUUAGUCUAAUGUGAAAGCCCACGGCUUAACCGUGGAACGGCAUUGGAAACUGACAGACUUGAAUGUAGAAGAGGAAAAUGGAAUUCCAAGUGUAGCGGUGGAAUGCGUAGAUAUUUGGAGGAACACCAGUGGCGAAGGCGAUUUUCUGGUCUAACAUUGACGCUGAGGCUCGAAAGCGUGGGGAGCGAACAGGAUUAGAAACCCUUGUAGUCCCA